UGGGGAAUUUUGGACAAUGGGCGAAAGCCUGAUCCAGCAAUGCCGCGUGUGUGAAGAAGGCCUUCGGGUUGUAAAGCACUUUUGUCCGGAAAGAAAUCCUUGGCUCUAAUACAGUCGGGGGAUGACGGUACCGGAAGAAUAAGCACCGGCUAACUACGUGCCAGCAGCCGCGGUAAUACGUAGGGUGCAAGCGUUAAUCGGAAUUACUGGGCGUAAAGCGUGCGCAGGCUGGUUUGCUAAGACCGAUGUGAAAUCCCCGGGCUCAACCUGGGAACUGCAUUGGUGACUGGCAGGCUAGAGUAUGGCAGAGGGGGGUAGAAUUCCACGUGUAGCAGUGAAAUGCGUAGAGAUGUGGAGGAAUACCGAUGGCGAAGGCAGCCCCCUGGGCCAAUACUGACGCUCAUGCACGAAAGCGUGGGGAGCAAACAGGAUUAGAUACCCUGGUAGUCCACGCCCUAAACGAUGUCAACUAGUUGUUGGGGAUUCAUUUCCUUAGUAACGUAGCUAACGCGUGAAGUUGACCGCCUGGGGAGUAC
RNAcentral lists this ribosomal RNA (536 nucleotides) under uncultured bacterium. Its description in RNAcentral is "partial 16S ribosomal RNA". It matches the Rfam family "Bacterial small subunit ribosomal RNA", at positions 355 to 883 of the family's 1533-position model. The record is from RNAcentral.